UACGUAGGUGGCAAGCGUUGUCCGGAUUUACUGGGCGUAAAGAGCGCGCAGGCGGUCGUUCAAGUCGCGUGUGAAAGCCCCCGGCUCAACUGGGGAGGGUCACGCGAUACUGAUCGACUCGAAGGCAGGAGAGGGUAGUGGAAUUCCCGGUGUAGAGGUGAAAUUCGUAGAUAUCGGGAGGAACACCGGUGGCGAAGGCGGCGAUCUGGGUCGAUACUGACGCUGAGGUGCGAAAGCGUGGGGAGCAAACAGG
This 253-nucleotide ribosomal RNA is filed under the name uncultured bacterium. RNAcentral describes it as "partial 16S ribosomal RNA". It matches the Rfam family "Bacterial small subunit ribosomal RNA", at positions 524 to 776 of the family's 1533-position model. The record is from RNAcentral.